Molecule: ribosomal RNA, 253 nt
Filed under: uncultured bacterium
Lineage: Bacteria
Description: partial 16S ribosomal RNA
Rfam family: Bacterial small subunit ribosomal RNA
Source: RNAcentral
UACGUAGGGUGCAAGCGUUGUCCGGAAUUAUUGGGCGUAAAGAGCUCGUAGGCGGCUUGUCGCGUCGGCUGUGAAAACCUAGGGCUCAACCCUGGGCCUGCAGCCGAUACGGGCAAGCUAGAAUUCGGUAGGGGAGACUGGAAUUCCUGGUGUAGCGGUGAAAUGCGCAGAUAUCAGGAGGAACACCGGUGGCGAAGGCGGUUCUCUGGGCCUUACCUGACGCUGAGGAGCGAAAGCGUGGGGAGCGAACAGG